RNAcentral lists this ribosomal RNA (254 nucleotides) under uncultured bacterium. RNAcentral describes it as "partial 16S ribosomal RNA". It matches the Rfam family "Bacterial small subunit ribosomal RNA", at positions 524 to 776 of the family's 1533-position model. The record is from RNAcentral.
UACGUAGGUGGCAAGCGUUGUCCGGAAUUAUUGGGCGUAAAGCGCGCGCAGGCGGUCCUUUAAGUCUGAUGUGAAAGCCCACGGCUCAACCGUGGAGGGUCAUUGGAAACUGGGGGACUUGAGUGCAGGAGAGAAGAGUGGAAUUCCACGUGUAGCGGUGAAAUGUGUAGAUAUAGGGAAGAACACCAAACGGCGAAGGCAGUUAACUAUUCGGCUACUGACAUUGAGGCAUGAAAGCGUGGGGAGCAAAACGG